Transfer RNA from Termitomyces sp. J132, 83 nucleotides. It matches the Rfam family "tRNA". From Rfam's summary of the family: Transfer RNA (tRNA) molecules are approximately 80 nucleotides in length. Their secondary structure includes four short double-helical elements and three loops (D, anti-codon, and T loops). Further hydrogen bonds mediate the characteristic L-shaped molecular structure. tRNAs have two regions of fundamental functional importance: the anti-codon, which is responsible for specific mRNA codon recognition, and the 3' end, to which the tRNAs corresponding amino acid is attached (by aminoacyl-tRNA synthetases). tRNAs cope with the degeneracy of the genetic code in two manners: having more than one tRNA (with a specific anti-codon) for a particular amino acid; and 'wobble' base-pairing, i.e. permitting non-standard base-pairing at the 3rd anti-codon position. NCBI's taxonomy places the organism in Eukaryota, Fungi, Basidiomycota, Agaricomycetes, Agaricales, Lyophyllaceae. The record is from Rfam.
CCGAUCUUAGCUCAGUUGGUAGAGCGCGAGACUGUAAUUGGAUACUUAUCUUGAGGUCGCCUGUUCGAUCCAGGCAGGUCGGA